RNAcentral lists this transfer RNA (77 nucleotides) under Agathobaculum desmolans. RNAcentral's name for it is "tRNA-Arg". It matches the Rfam family "tRNA". Rfam says of the family: Transfer RNA (tRNA) molecules are approximately 80 nucleotides in length. Their secondary structure includes four short double-helical elements and three loops (D, anti-codon, and T loops). Further hydrogen bonds mediate the characteristic L-shaped molecular structure. tRNAs have two regions of fundamental functional importance: the anti-codon, which is responsible for specific mRNA codon recognition, and the 3' end, to which the tRNAs corresponding amino acid is attached (by aminoacyl-tRNA synthetases). tRNAs cope with the degeneracy of the genetic code in two manners: having more than one tRNA (with a specific anti-codon) for a particular amino acid; and 'wobble' base-pairing, i.e. permitting non-standard base-pairing at the 3rd anti-codon position. Lineage: Bacteria; Bacillati; Bacillota; Clostridia; Eubacteriales; Butyricicoccaceae. RNAcentral also lists the same sequence under 19 other names. The record is from RNAcentral.
GCGCCCGUAGCUCAGCUGGAUAGAGCGUUGGACUCCGACUCCAAAGGCCGUGCGUUCGAAUCGCAUCGGGCGUACCA